AUGAAGGUCCCGUCUGGAUUCUCGUCCAAUAUAAAGGGAAUAAUAAACAUGGCGGAGAAAAAGUUCCAAAACCUGAAGUCUCACGACUGCCACGUGAUUAUGACGCAAUUGCUUCCGAUUGCUUUGAGGGGGCUCCUGCCGGAAAAUGUUCGAGUAGCCAUUGUGAAGCUAUGUGCAUUCCUCAAUGCAAUCUCUCAGAAGGUAAUCAAUCCAGAAGUUCUACCACGGUUACAGAACGAUGUGAUCCAAUGUCUUGUCAGUUUCGAGUUGGUGUUCCCGCCAUCCUUCUUCAAUAUUAUGACGCACCUCCUGGUUCACCUAGUCGAAGAGAUUUUCGUUCUCGGUCCUGUAUUUCUACACAAUAUGUUCCCCUUCGAGAGGUUCAUGGGAGUAUUAAAGAAAUAUGUU
This 408-nucleotide ribosomal RNA is filed under the name Triticum aestivum (bread wheat). RNAcentral's name for it is "partial small subunit ribosomal RNA". Lineage: Eukaryota; Viridiplantae; Streptophyta; Magnoliopsida; Poales; Poaceae. The record is from RNAcentral.